Molecule: long non-coding RNA, 711 nt
Organism: Cercocebus atys (sooty mangabey)
Lineage: Eukaryota; Metazoa; Chordata; Mammalia; Primates; Cercopithecidae
Exons: 3
Source: RefSeq, a predicted model, not a curated record
CUCUCGGGGCCCCAAGACUGCAGGAAGAAACAAGUAUUGUAGAAGCCAAAACCCCAAGGCAAGGGAGAAGCUAUUGAAAGACAAAAACCUCUAUAUGGAAAUAUAUCACCAGCAGCACAAGUGGACUACAGCCUCAGAAAUGUCCUCACCGUCCAGCUUCAUGACAAGCAGACUGGCUGUUGGCAGAAGGCACCCAGCUCUGCUUCUGCGCAUAAGGAACUGAGGCCCCACGUGGUGAAGUAACAGAGCUGAUUCUAGAGUCCAGGUGCUCUCAGUGUCAGCCUCUGCCAUUCUGACCACGCUGCACUCAGAUCUUGCUCUACUCUCUGGAGUUUGUCCACAUCACAGUUUUCUGGUAUGCAGCUCAUCAGACAAUUUUUACCUGAAUCCACACAUGACAAGAGACCAUUUGGGUAAUGUACAUUAUGGGAAGAGAACAGAGUCUCAGUGAAGAUCAUUAGUUUCCCUAGCAACAUAGAUGCCAGGACUGGCUGGCUCUGGUCCUAGCCUAGACUCAGAAAUCCUAAGCCACCAGACCAAUUCUAGAUUAACAAGUAAGGUGACUUCUGAGUAACUAAUAUUUUCAUUGAGAUUUGAUGAUAAGCAGCAAAGCUCAAACAAAAGUCCAGAGUUAGUGUUGGCAGGGUGAGGUGGCUCAUGCCUGUAAUCCCAGCACUUUGGGAGGCUGAGGUGGGAGGAUCACUUGAGCCC